This is a non-coding RNA of Cajanus cajan (pigeon pea), 4270 nucleotides long. Lineage: Eukaryota; Viridiplantae; Streptophyta; Magnoliopsida; Fabales; Fabaceae. The record is from RefSeq and is a predicted model, not a curated record.
UUUCUGAAAAAGGGUUAUCAAAGUAUUGAAAAGUAAAUCAUCAUGAGAAAUUUCAGACAAAUUUAGGCAAAAAUAAGCUGGAAUCUCUAGGAAUACAACCGUGAGUGCCACUUACUGAUGAAGGUCUGACUUAGUAUAUAUUUCUGCAAAGUCUACAUUAAGAUGAGACUCAACAGCAGGAGAAGUGAUCUCCAACAUCCAUGUUGCUGGAUUAUAUCCAUCUCUAAUCUUCGGAACUCCUGUAAUAGCCUGAAAAAGGUUUAUACACAAUCAGUAAGAUUACUGGCAUCAUACUAAUUCAAGAAUUUAUACAAUGUAAUAUUAGUGGUUUACCUCAAAGUACUCAACAAGAUUCUGAGAAUUUCGACCAAGGGGACCACCAUAUAUCACUUGGCCACCUCUCUUCAUCAAAAGCAGCUGAAGUCAAGAUGUAGCUCGUGGGUUAGCAUUGUGCCUUUGAAACCAUUACACAAAGUAAACUCCCACAUCGGUCCAAAAGAUUACAACAGUUCGCCCUGUAUCUACUGUGUUUCUCACGGUACGCAUAACAACUGCUGCAGCUCUAGCAUCAAGACCAGUUGUUGGCUCAUCCAUAAAAAUAAUGGAAGGAUUUGCAACCAAUUCCACAGCAAUGGAUAUGAUUGAUGUGGUACAAGAGGAGGGAAUUGGAAUUUACAUGUGGCAUAUCAAUGUAAUAAUUCACAUUUUGAAAUGCAAGUGACAGAGGCCGAAAGGGCAGCACCAUUCCCUUCUUGGAUUUUGUAUUCUCUGCAGCUUUAAUAGUUGAGCUGUGUUCCAUGUUUCUUACUUCCAUAUCAAUACCUGCAAAUAAUUGCAAUUAUCUGUGUGUUUAUUGCCAAGAGAGCUUAGAGUGAAUUGCACAUUACUAAUACAACAUAUGUUAUGUUUUUUAUGAUCUCAUUGUAGAAAGUUGCUUAUACUCUUCAUUUGAAGAAAAAAUCAAAUUAUACCUUCAAACAAUUUAGCAAGUGAAGCUGAACUCUUCUCCGUAGUUGCUGUUGCCUUUUUUUCCACUGAGGAUGAAGUAGAUGUCUUUUUCUUUUGGUCUUCCUCUUCCACUAUAAUAGAUCUAGAGUUUCCAAAUGCUGCAAUUUAUUUUCAAAGCAAUAUCAGAGGAUGUUUUUAGAUAGUGGAUUUUUCGUAUGGUCAUGGAUGUGGAGGGAGAGUGAUCAAGAAAAGUUAUAGGCUAAACCAUUAAGAAGGAUUUAGAUUUAAAUAAUUUAUCUAUAGACAUAAUUUACAAUAGGACAUUAUGGUAUGUCAUUUGAUCCAUGUAGCCUCGCCUACCUUGUAGGAAAAAGCUUUUGCAGUAGUUUAUUAGAAAGAACUUAGAGCAAUUUAAGAAACGAAGUCUUAUACCAUGCAACACAAAGAAAGAUUAGUACGGAAACUUACGAUUCAAAUAAGUUAGAGCCAGAAUGAAACAAAUAUUGAAAACCAGGGAAAAUCCUAAAAGGGCUCCAACGGAUAUCCAGUACCAAUAGUCUUCUGUGAAUAUGCCUCUGGCCCUAAGAAAAGCCUUCCCAACUGUGGGCUCAGGAAUACUUGGGUCAAUAUUGGGCUGUGAAAAGUGAAGAAUCAGCAACAAACUAAUAAUUAUGUAGUGAUUAUAAGAUUAAAUAAACACGAUAAAAUCUUACAGCACUCCAUCUUUUGUCUAGGAACUCGUUGAUGGCUAUGGCAUUCAUGCCAUACAUCAUGGGUGAAGUGUAGUAGCACCAUAUCAUCCAUGAGUCAAUAUCAUCUAUAAAUGGAGAGAGAGGUUGGAGUGGUCAAUUUAAAUGAAACAUUUCACAUGAAAAAUGAAGAAUCUCAGUUAACAUUGAAAUAUUUCUUCAUAGUAAACUGUUACUCACUUCUUGAAACAGUAAAUCCACUUAGGAGGAAAACAACUAAAAUUGCAAAGGAACCAAUUGUAUUUGCCACAACUUUUGUUCUUCCAACUGCAGAAAUGAAGCGGAAUAGGGACAGAGCCAUUUGAUUCACACAGAAGAAUACCAAAAAUUGACGAAAAAACCUGUAACAAGAUUUUAUAUGCAUCAUUGAACAAAACUUGCAAGUUAAUAACUCUGAAGAGUAAAGAAUGACACAAGAGUAUGUCAAUUAUUUCAUUUCUAUGUUAUUGAGAAACUCACUAUCUACACAUUACAUUCUCAUACCUACUAGCUGCAGGAGCAAAGCCAAUUGUAUAAUAAGUGAAGAUGAUCCAUAUUCCUGACUCUAACAGAGAGAGAGGAACUCUGAGGACCCAGAUGGGCAAUGCAAAAGCCCAUGCUGGAUAAAACAGGAAAUCUCUCUGCUUGUAAAAAACGGGAAGUCUAUUAAUGGUCAUUGCCAGCUCUGCCACUCCAUUGAACAUUACAUUAAGGAGGCUGAAAAAUAGUGCACCAUAGUAUUUUCCUGCACCUACAAGUUGACCCUGCUUCAUUUCUGUUCUUAAAAAUACUGUCAUUGUAAUUAUAGCUAUUAUAAUAAUCUGAAAUGUCUUGAAUAUGUAUACAAAAUGGUUGCGCUUCAUCAAAAGCCACUCUCUUGAAAGGCAUGCCUUGAAGAGUUCCCAUUUGGAGAUGCCAUACUUUUCCUUCACCAAUGCAGCGCGAUGUCUUUCGUUUGGAUCAAAUGGAACUUGAAUCUUUUCACGAAGUUGCUGACCGAUGCUGUAAAUGUUGAAAUGGGCUACAAACUCAGGCACAGUGACAUAUUGGUAAGGUUGCAGAAGAGCGAUUAUCAUAGUAACAUCCAUGAUAUGGACCAUCUGCCUCAUGAACCUGACAAUUUGGAAGGUUGUGGAACUAUCUAAACCAGUUGAAAUUUCAUCCAUGAAGAAGGCUUUUGCAGGGCCUACCAGCAUCUCACCUGAAUUCAUGUUAUGUGGAAAUUAUUACUUGUGAGCUGCAAGAAUGAUGACUUAUCUUAAAGCUCAAAGUUUGUGGAUUAUAGUAGAAAAUGAAAGUAAUCCACCUUCGUUAUCAGAAAACCCAAUAGUAACUUAAAUGAGGAGUCACAAUGAUGAAGUGGCAAAAGAAGGAUGAGCUUUUGUCAUUAUCCAGACAACACUACAUGAUGAUGUAUUUAUCAAACUUCUGACUCUUAAAACUACAAAAGAGGCAUGGGAUAAACUGCACGAGGAGUUCCAAGGGAGUGAAAGAACGAAAAGAAUGUAAGUGUUGAACUUAAGGAGAGAGUUUAAAGUUUUAAAAGUGUUAGAAAGUAAAUUUGUCAAAGAUUUAAUUGACAAACUUUUGAAGAUUAUUACCAAAUUAGAUUACUCGGUGAAAAACUUAGUGAUCAAUGCAUUGUGGAGAAAAUCUUGGUGUGUCUUCCGAAGAGAUUUGAAUCCAAAAUCUCUUCUCUUGAAGAAAAUAAAGAUUUUUCUCAAAUUUCAAUUGUGGAGCUUGCCAAUGCUCUACAAGCUACUAAACAAACAAAACCUUUAAGGAUGGAAGAAAAUAUUGAAGGUGCUUUUGUUGCAUAUACAAAAGGCAAAGAAUAGGAAAAAAACAACAACAGAAAAGGUUGGGAAAAUAAGUUUCCACCAUGCCGUCACUGUAAGAAGAACAACCAUACUGAAAAUUUUUGUUAGUUUAAGCCAAGCAUUAAAUGUAAGGUCUACAAUUAGUUUGGUCACAUGGAGAAGGUUUGUAAAAAUAAAACAAGCCCACAAGGAACAUCAGUCCAAAUUGUGGAGCAUGAAGAGCAACCUGAGGAACAUCUAUUUACUGUUACAUCUUAUGCAACGAGUUAAAACAAAGAGACAUGGCUCGUAGACAGUGGAUGCACAAAUCAUAUGACUCAUGAUGCUACAAUUUUCAAGGAAUUAAAUCAGUUCCAAAUCUUCAAAGUCACCAUAGACAAUGGAAAAAAGUGUUGAUGUCAAAGGAGUGAGUGAAGGGUGUGGGAAUAAUAAGUGAACUGUGAAGAAAGAGGGAAGAGGGAAGGGUAUUAAAGGAAUUUUCAAUAUAUGAUGAGUGUAUGGAACAACUGGAAGGGUGCAGGGUGCAAUUGUCCUAAUUGUGUAAAAUGUAAAUGUGUAUCCUUGAUUGCAUGAAUCCAAAUCCAAGUCCAAUUCCGAAUGGUUUUGGUACCCAUAUCCAGCUUGCAUGGACAUUGGCAAAACCCUUAUUAAUUACGUAUGGUUAUAGCUUAUAGGUAUCCAUCCAAAGCAUGAUGACUCCAGUUGAAUGUAAAAGGAAAAAAAUGCAUGAGUAUGACAUAGUAACUUGAUGGAUUUAGUUUUCAUAGUUCUUAU